GACGAACGCUGGCGGCGUGCUUAACACAUGCAAGUCGAACGGAAAGGCCCUGCUUUUGUGGGGUGCUCGAGUGGCGAACGGGUGAGUAACACGUGAGUAACCUGCCCUUGACUUUGGGAUAACUUCAGGAAACUGGGGCUAAUACCGGAUAGGAGCUCCUGCUGCAUGGUGGGGGUUGGAAAGUUUCGGCGGUUGGGGAUGGACUCGCGGCUUAUCAGCUUGUUGGUGGGGUAGUGGCUUACCAAGGCUUUGACGGGUAGCCGGCCUGAGAGGGUGACCGGCCACAGUGGGACUGAGAUACGGCCCAGACUCCUACGGGAGGCAGCAGUGGGGAAUAGUGCACAAUGGGCGGAAGCCUGAUGCAGCAACGCCGCGUGCGGGAUGACGGCCUUCGGGUUGUAAACCGCUUUCGCCUGAGACGAAGCGUGAGUGACGGUAAUGGGUAAAGAAGCACCGGCUAACUACGUG
RNAcentral lists this ribosomal RNA (468 nucleotides) under uncultured bacterium. RNAcentral's name for it is "partial 16S ribosomal RNA". It matches the Rfam family "Bacterial small subunit ribosomal RNA", at positions 28 to 507 of the family's 1533-position model. The record is from RNAcentral.